Molecule: ribosomal RNA, 253 nt
Filed under: uncultured bacterium
Lineage: Bacteria
Description: partial 16S ribosomal RNA
Rfam family: Bacterial small subunit ribosomal RNA
Source: RNAcentral
UACGUAGGGUGCAAGCGUUGCCCGGAUUUAUUGGGCGUAAAGGGCGCGUAGGCGGGCAUUCAAGUCCGUGGUGAAAUCCGGCAGCUCAACUGUCGAACUGCCGCGGAUACUGGGUGUCUCGAGGGAGGUAGGGGCGUGCGGAACUAUUGGUGGAGCGGUGAAAUGCGUUGAUAUCAAUAGGAACUCCGGUGGCGAAGGCGGCACGCUGGACCUCUUCUGACGCUGAGGCGCGAAAGCCAGGGGAGCAAACGGG